GACGAACGCUGGCGGCGUGCUUAACACAUGCAAGUCGAACGGAAAGACCCUGCUUUUGUGGGGUGCUCGAGUGGCGAACGGGUGAGUAACACGUGAGUAACCUGCCCUUGACUUUGGGAUAACUUCAGGAAACUGGGGCUAAUACCGGAUAGGAGCUCCUGCUGCAUGGUGGGGGUUGGAAAGUUUCGGCGGUUGGGGAUGGACUCGCGGCUUAUCAGCUUGUUGGUGGGGUAGUGGCUUACCAAGGCUUUGACGGGUAGCCGGCCUGAGAGGGUGACCGGCCACAUUGGGACUGAGAUACGGCCCAGACUCCUACGGGAGGCAGCAGUGGGGAAUAUUGCAAAAUGGGCGGAAGCCUGAUGCAGCAACGCCGCGUGCGGGAUGACGGCCUUCGGGUUGUAAACCGCUUUCGCCUGUGACGAAGCGUGAGUGACGGUAAUGGGUAAAGAAGCACCGGCUAACUACGUG
This 468-nucleotide ribosomal RNA is filed under the name uncultured bacterium. Its description in RNAcentral is "partial 16S ribosomal RNA". It matches the Rfam family "Bacterial small subunit ribosomal RNA", at positions 28 to 507 of the family's 1533-position model. The record is from RNAcentral.